GACGAACGCUUUCGGCGUGCUUAACACAUGCAAGUCGAACGGAAAGGCCCUGCUUUUGUGGGGUGCUCGAGUGGCGAACGGGUGAGUAACACGUGAGUAACCUGCCCUUGACUUUGGGAUAACUUCAGGAAACUGGGGCUAAUACCGGAUAGGAGCUCCUGCUGCAUGGUGGGGGUUGGAAAGUUUCGGCGGUUGGGGAUGGACUCGCGGCUUAUCAGCUUGUUGGUGGGGUAGUGGCUUACCAAGGCUUUGACGGGUAGCCGGCCUGAGAGGGUGACCGGCCACAUUGGGACUGAGAUACGGCCCAGACUCCUACGGGAGGCAGCAGUGGGGAAUAUUGCACAAUGGGCGGAAGCCUGAUGCAGCAACGCCGCGUGCGGGAUGACGGCCUUCGGGUUGUAAACCGCUUUCGCCUGUGACGAAGCGUGAGUGACGGUAAUGGGUAAAGAAGCACCGGCUAACUACGUGCCAGCAGCCGCGGUGAUACGUAGGGUGCGAGCGUUGUCCGGAUUUAUUGGGCGUAAAGGGCUCGUAGGUGGUUGAUCGCGUCGGAAGUGUAAUCUUGGGGCUUAACCCUGAGCGUGCUUUCGAUACGGGUUGACUUGAGGAAGGUAGGGGAGAAUGGAAUUCCUGGUGGAGCGGUGGAAUGCGCAGAUAUCAGGAGGAACACCAGUGGCGAAGGCGGUUCUCUGGGCCUUUCCUGACGCUGAGGAGCGAAAGCGUGGGGAGCGAACAGGCUUAGAUACCCUGGUAGUCCACGCUGUAAACGGUGGGUACUAGGUGUGGGGUCCAUUCCACGGGUUCCGUGCCGUAGCUAACGCUUUAAGUACCCCGCCUGGGGAGUACGGCCGCAAGGCUAAAACUCAAAGGAAUUGACGGGGCCCCGCACAAGCGGCGGAGCAUGCGGAUUAAUUCGAUGCAACGCGUAGAACCUUACCUGGGUUUGACAUGGAUCGGGAGUGCUCAGAGAUGGGUGUGCCUCUUUUGGGGUCGGUUCACAGGUGGUGCAUGCCUGUCGUCAGCUCGUGUCGUGAGAUGUUGGGUUAAGUCCCGCAACGAGCGCAACCCUUGUUCACUGUUGCCAGCACGUUAUGGUGGGGACUCAGUGGAGACCGCCGGGGUCAACUCGGAGGAAGGUGGGGAUGACGUCAAGUCAUCAUGCCCCUUAUGUCCAGGGCUUCACGCAUGCUACAAUGGCUGGUACAGAGAGUGGCGAGCCUGUGAGGGUGAGCGAAUCUCGGAAAGCCGGUCUCAGUUCGGAUUGGGGUCUGCAACUCGACCUCAUGAAGUCGGAGUCGCUAGUAAUCGAAGAUCAGCAACGCUGCGGUGAAUACGUUCCCGGG
Molecule: ribosomal RNA, 1343 nt
Filed under: uncultured bacterium
Lineage: Bacteria
Description: 16S ribosomal RNA
Rfam family: Bacterial small subunit ribosomal RNA
Source: RNAcentral